UGGGUAAUCUUGUGAAACUUCAUCGUGUUGGGGAUAGAGCAUUGCAAUUAUUGCUCUUCAACGAGGAAUCCCUAGUAAGCACAAGUCAUCAGCUUGUGCUGAUUACGUCCCUGCCCUUUGUACACACCGCCCGUCGCUACUACCGAUUGAAUGGCUUAGUGAGACCCUCGGAUUGACGUUCAUCGGCUGUAAAAGGCUCUUGUUUGUUGAAAAGUUGGUCAAACUUGGUCAUUUAGAGGAAGUAAAAGUCGUAACAAGGUUUCCGUAGGUGAACCUGCGGAAGGAUCAUU
Molecule: ribosomal RNA, 290 nt
Filed under: Glomus macrocarpum
Lineage: Eukaryota; Fungi; Glomeromycota; Glomeromycetes; Glomerales; Glomeraceae
Description: partial 18S ribosomal RNA
Rfam family: Eukaryotic small subunit ribosomal RNA
Source: RNAcentral